This 539-nucleotide ribosomal RNA is filed under the name uncultured bacterium. Its description in RNAcentral is "bacterial SSU rRNA". It matches the Rfam family "Bacterial small subunit ribosomal RNA", at positions 9 to 544 of the family's 1533-position model. The record is from RNAcentral.
GAGUUUGAUCCUGGCUCAGGACGAACGCUGGCGGCGUGCUUAAUACAUGCAAGUCGAGCGGGGUUACUGCGACAGAUCCCUUCGGGGUGACGUUGCUUUAACCUAGCGGCGGACGGGUGAGUAACGCGUGGGUAACCUACCCUAAAGCUCGGGAUAACAGUGGGAAACCGCUGCUAAUACCGGAUGACUUUAACCUAUGGCAUCAUGGGUUAAAGAAAGAUUUAUCGCUUUAGGAUGGGCCCGCGUCCCAUUAGCUAGUUGGUGAGGUAACGGCUCACCAAGGCGACGAUGGGUAGCCGGCCUGAGAGGGUGUACGGCCACACUGGGACUGGGACACGGCCCAGACUCCUACGGGGGGCAGCAGUAGGGAAUUUUCGGCAAUGGGCGAAAGCCUGACCGAGCGACGCCGCGUGAGGGACGAAGGCCUUCGGGUUGUAAAACUCUGUCCUUGGGGAAGAAGGAAGUGACGGUACCCAAGGAGGAAGCCCCGGCUAACUACGUGCCAACAGCCGCGGUAAAACGUAGGGGGCGAGCGUUGU